This 72-nucleotide transfer RNA is filed under the name Fomitiporia mediterranea MF3/22. Its description in RNAcentral is "tRNA-Arg (CCG) (tRNA-Arg-CCG-1-1)". It matches the Rfam family "tRNA". From Rfam's summary of the family: Transfer RNA (tRNA) molecules are approximately 80 nucleotides in length. Their secondary structure includes four short double-helical elements and three loops (D, anti-codon, and T loops). The record is from RNAcentral. Lineage: Eukaryota; Fungi; Basidiomycota; Agaricomycetes; Hymenochaetales; Hymenochaetaceae.
GGUCGUGUAGCGAAAUGGCAUCGCGUCAGUUUCCGGAGCUGAAGGUUGUGGGUUCGAGUCCCACCAUGAUCG